CAUCCACUGCCAACUCCACGGCUCUGUUGUAGGAGACCCAGGAAAAUCUCUCCCAAUUGGAGUCGGCUAAAACACAAGUCCAAAUCCUUCCAGGAGAAUGUUCUGUGGAGAGAAGAGACAAAACGAGAGAAUUUCAAUCAGCACAUUACGGGUUAAAUCCCCCCUCCCACUAGGUAGGACGAGCAAGGACCAAUCAGAAGUAUAAUUGCCAGCCUGGUAAUUCGUGGGGAACAGAACUCUUGUGCUGUAUAAGGGCACAGACUUGAAGAAACAACAUGUUGUCCAGCCAUUUCAGCUUGCAGUUAUAUGAUGAAUCAGCAGUUGAAAGUUAUUUUAUCCAGUUCUGCGCCUCAAACUAUGUUCUGCUUGGGAAGGUCCCAACGGUGCCCACUGUCAUGUGAAGGAUCAGGAAAAGAAAAUCUCCAUGUUUCCUCAACUCGUAUGGUUCUGGGAGUCCCACUCCAUGCUCAGGCUGCUUCCCGACGGUUGGUCUCUAAGUGGAGACUGAAAUCACUUGGAUUCCUGUGAGAUACCGAGGGGAGAAGGAGCUACUGGAGGGGAAAGUGGCCAAUACUAUAACAUCUGGCACCGCAGUUGCUGGGAAAUAGAAAUCCAACGACUCAGUUCUUCUCAGACAUAAAGUUGUGAUUAACCAGUGUUACUGUGUAUCCCAAUGUGGGUGUUGGACUGGGACUGCUAAUUCUUAUGUAAAGAGAAGAUGAAUUGGAUGAUUUUGUUCCUAAUAAAAGUCAGCCAAGCUGCAUUGAACAUU
Molecule: long non-coding RNA, 772 nt
Organism: Xenopus laevis (African clawed frog)
Lineage: Eukaryota; Metazoa; Chordata; Amphibia; Anura; Pipidae
Exons: 6
Source: RefSeq, a predicted model, not a curated record